CUACCGAAGAGCAGUCGGCUGCUACUGAUCCAGUCGGUCCUUUGUGCAAUCCCGGUGCACUCGAUGAUAGCCAUGGGCCUGCCUCCGAAAACGAUCAAGGCGAUCAUCAAGAAUUGCAGAAGUUUCCUGUGGUGUGGAAAGGAGGAAGCAGGAGGAGGUAAAUGUGUUGUUGCUUGGGAGACUCUCUGUCGACCAAAGUGGGCAGGUGACCUUGGUGUCCCUAACCUGAGGUGGAUGAAUGUGGCUUUGCAAGCUAAAUGGCUAUGGUUGCAGCACACAGACCCGUCUAGACCAUGGGCAGAGUUCUGUUUUUCAAUCACUGAUGAGGCAAAAGGCCUGUUUCAGGCAACGACUAGACUGACCCUUGGUGAUGGUCGCCUCGCUUUGUUCUGGGAGGAUAGAUGGUUAAAUGGUUACCGAAUACAAGAGCUGGCUCCGGCGGUAUAUGAAAAGGUGCCAAAGAAAGUUCGAAGCUCCAAAGCUGCGGCUGAAGCUCUGCUGGAUGCAAUGUGGGCCCAUGACAUUGGACCAAACUUGGACGAGACCAGGCUUCGACAGUUUCUGGAGAAGGAUGGCAAUUCUCGGCGAGGUCGGCGUACGCGGCCAGGUUUACCACACUCCAGGUCUCUCCGACGGCAGUUUUCACCUGGGCAUCGAACACACCUUUGUGUUGUCGUUUCUUUGCUUGGUCGGCCCUGCGGAACAGGGUGUGGACUUCUGACAGGCUUGCAAAGCGUGGACUCCAACACCACAAUGCAUGCCCACUUUGUGACCAGGACGAUGAAGAUAUAA
Molecule: ribosomal RNA, 792 nt
Filed under: Triticum aestivum (bread wheat)
Lineage: Eukaryota; Viridiplantae; Streptophyta; Magnoliopsida; Poales; Poaceae
Description: partial small subunit ribosomal RNA
Source: RNAcentral